RNAcentral lists this small RNA (118 nucleotides) under Marmota monax (woodchuck). Lineage: Eukaryota; Metazoa; Chordata; Mammalia; Rodentia; Sciuridae. The record is from RNAcentral.
GCUGGGCGCCAUGGUCACGCCUGUCAUCCCAGCAGCUCGGGAGGCUGAGGCAGGAGGAUCACGAGUUCAAAGUUAGCCUCAGCAAGGCCCUAAGCAACUCAGCGAGACCCUGUCUCUA